UGUGAUGUCAAAAAAAAGAAAUGAAAGCCGUCACGUUAGGGUAAAACACCAGUCUAUGUGUGUCUGUGUGUGCGCGUGUGCCUGUCCCGAGGCUCUGAGAAGUCACCAAAAAUUUGAGCCUUUUGAAGUCACAAAAAUCUCGUUACAACAAUUUCUGCUAUUUCCACUUUUCAACCUUGGCCGCGGAGAUUGCACACUUCUCUUUCAACCCACAGAAUUGAGCAACAGAACGCGUUUAAUUGGAGAACCGUAGUUACACAUGCCCCGACUUUUAUUUGACAUUUGGUGAACUCCCUUGUAAAGUGAAAUUUCUACAGAGUGGAAUAAAAGUAAGCCCCUUUCUGCAUCACACAGAGAUGGCCUUGAUUAGAUUCUGACUCAUUUUACUGAUAAAAUGCCACAGAUGUCAGCAGCGGAAUCAAAUAAAUAGUUAUGUAACUACGCACAGAUGGAUAUUAGAGGAUAUUGAAGUUGUGAUUGCUUUUUAUCCCACAAGGAAAAAAGCUGCACAUGAGAGUUUUUAUACUACGAAGAAACAUUAUUUGAUUUUUUUUUAAAAAGGGUUGUUUUUUUUAGAUCCAGUCCCAGAGUGAAAGUAAAGAAUCUAUAUGCAGCCGAAAUUUAGCACGUGUCUCCCCGAUAUCUCUUUAAGACAAUGGCAGUGAGUGAGAUAUCACCAAGUGUGUCAAAGUGUGAAGGGGGUUGUCAGAGCCCACGGAGCGUAUCCAACGUUGUCAUUGCCGCUCGCCUGUCUGCCUGUGGAGAACAUCCACCGUUGACAAGAGGUGAGCGCCGGCUCCUCUCCGCAUCAGUUUUGGAUCACUACUCUCAAUCAAAGCCAGGAGAGGAGGGCCCGCAUAAUGUGACAGAGCCUGUCUCUCUCUUUGCCUUUUGAUGCCUGAGGAAGGCUCAACCAGAGCAACCCCUGUCAGAAACCUGCCCACAAGCCUAGACACAAAAGAGAUCCAGGAAUAUGAGGAGGCAGAUAAACAGACAGACAGAAAGUUGCAGACAAACAAGCGCGGGAAAAGUGAGGACACGAUAAACCGAGAGAGAGGCAGCGUGGAACGGUAAAGCAGGUAGAUGCACCAAAGCUGUGUAAUAUCCAGCUUAUACAAAUGCUAUCAGCAUCGCGUGAUAAGACUGCACUUUUCAUUAAACGGCCCCUGUGGACCAGCUAAAUGUAUUUGCAAAUAAUGGCAGUCAGAUUUAAUGACAUUAUGAGCCAUUAAAGAGGAAAAAAAAUAGUGACUGAUCUUAUCAUCCCCUUGUUUCACAUUGAUUGCCAUAUCUGAUAUCUUGUUUCAUAUCUUUGCCAAUCUAAUGCUCUAACAGCUGUGGAAAUCGGAGCUGAUGUGCAUUGUUAACUGUGUUUAUUGUGGUUGUGUAAUUACAAACUGUAUAAUGCGCAAUCUAAUUUAUUAGAUUAGUGAAAGGAUUGGGAGACGGUGUGUUUGCUCUGCUGCUCCGUGCUGUUGUAAACAGUGCCAUCUAGUGCGCUCCAGCUGGGCUCGGGUGUCAUGACGGGGGCUUUGAAGAUGGGAAAGGAGCUCAGGAGGCGUGAAGGAGAAACUGUACAGCUGGCAGCGCUGCGUGGAAGACACGAGCGUCUGCUAGUUGGAAGGAACAGGCAUACGAGGUCAUCCGAGGAUACGCUCGAGCAGGAGGAUGCAGAAGAGUCGGAAACUACCGCUCAUGUCACCGCAGCACAUUCUUCAGCUUUUACACCACGGAAAAGAAAUCACCGUACCAAAAUUACCACCCAAUCAUACCACAGUUGGUCCUGAGACACACAUGCAGUCAGAAUCUCAAAAUAACCCCCGACCAGACCCAGACUGGACCUCUUUAAGCUAUUUCUUAUUCUGUUGUGGCAAAAUAUCAAGGAAAAUAUUAGUCAAAACUCGCCACUUGUGUGUAAAUGAGCUCAAGAUGGAUUAGGAGGCUCUGGAUUCUAUUUGAGGCCGUACGAACCACAAGAUUUCCACCCGCAGCUGAAAGCCAGCAGAGACCCAGAUGUGUGGUGUGCAGCAACUUUGAAUGUGAUUUCCUCUCUUAAGCCUUUAGUGUAGGUAAAGGCAUUAUAGACGAUCAAACCUCUUAGCCCUCCUACUUGUGGGAUUUGAUGUGCAUUACUGACAGUGAGAAAUGGCCUGCCUGAAAUACAAUAUCUCACUUCAGUGGAAGAUGGAGAGGAGAGAGGAGGAGUGGAGAGGAAGCAUGGAGAGUGAUGCUGCCUGACAAUAAGAAAUACACACAUACUACAGCAGUGUAGAGUUACCAGGGAUUGCAUGGAUGCUGUAGAAAAGCUUAGCUAAAUUAAAAAGAAGAGGUAAAAAAAAAUGUAAGCAUCAAAGUCACUGACUGAGAACCUUCACAGACAUCAAAAACUAUCUUUAAGGUGAAAAUUAACUUCAAAAACACACUUUUUGUGUAACUUCUCUUACACAGAAUACACACCUUUACAGCCCAAAAUAUCACUUAAACUAGUCACUGUGGCAAGAAAAAAGCUAAAAGGGUUAAACUUGUAGCUAAAAUGUAUUAUAAAUAAAUAAAUAAAGCUCUAAAUGGUUAAUUCUAAACAGUAAAAGGACUCGGCUUACAAAAAAUGGCUUGCUUAAAAAGUAUUAGGUAAAUGGUUAAUCACUGUAAACGUUGAUUUGUUAAUUUAAUCAAGGGAUAAUUACAUUCAACUGCACUUAUAUCUGCUUUUCAGUUGAUGUUGUAAAAAUACCUAAAUGUAGCGAUUGAAAUAGCUAGCUUACAGUUUUCAGCUUUUAGCUAUAUGGUAUACUACUGAAAUAGCUAGCUUACAGUUUUUAGCUUUUAGCUAUAUGGUAUACUACUGAAAUAGUUAGCUUAACCGGUUAAAAGACCCCUUCAAUCAAUAGUUGAAAAACACAGAAUACACUAAAACAGUAAGUAAAAGCAAAAUGAUCAGAUAAUGAUCAGAUUUUUUAUACUAAGUUAAUAUACUGUGUUGUGUUGUUUGUUACGUUGUGAUGUGUCAUAUCGUGUCGUGUUGUGUUAUAUGUAGUGCCGACGUAGGACAGUUUUUCCAAUUUCAUUGUACUACUGUACUAUGUAUGACUGUGCAAUGACAAUAAAGAGUUAUCUAUCUUA
Molecule: long non-coding RNA, 3120 nt
Organism: Haplochromis burtoni (Burton's mouthbrooder)
Lineage: Eukaryota; Metazoa; Chordata; Actinopteri; Cichliformes; Cichlidae
Exons: 2
Source: RefSeq, a predicted model, not a curated record